Molecule: ribosomal RNA, 115 nt
Filed under: Enterobacter hormaechei subsp. xiangfangensis
Lineage: Bacteria; Pseudomonadati; Pseudomonadota; Gammaproteobacteria; Enterobacterales; Enterobacteriaceae
Source: RNAcentral
CUGGCGGCUUUAGCGCGGUUGUCCCACCUGACCCCAUGCCGAACUCAGAAGUGAAACGCCGUAGCGCCGAUGGUAGUGUGGGGUCUCCCCAUGUGAGAGUAGGGAACUGCCAGGC